UGAUGUAUUCAAUGAGUCUAUAGCCUUGACCGAUAGGUUCGGGUAAUCUUGAUAAAUUUCAUCGUGAUGGGGAUAGAUCAUUGCAAUUGUUGAUCUUGAACGAGGAAUUCCUAGUAAGCGCGAGUCAUCAGCUCGCGUUGACUACGUCCCUGCCCUUUGUACACACCGCCCGUCGCUCCUACCGAUUGAAUGGUCCGGUGAAGUGUUUGGAUUAAGGCGACGGGAGAGACUCGUCUCUCCCGAUGUCGUGAGAAGCUCAUUGAACCUUAUCAUUUAGAGGAAGGAGAAGUCGUAACAAGGUUUCCGUAGGUGAACCUGCGGAAGGAUCAUUGCCGGUUGAUGUAUCCAUAGAAUUGACGUUGAACUUGUAAUCUGUUGAAUCUUUGGCAUGAUGCGCCGCUGUUUGAUCGAAAGACUUUCAACUGCUCAUUCAUGUCAUAACGACCUUUUACCGGCACGGCAUGUGUCAAGUGAUUUGUCCGAACGCGUCGAGCUAUGUGCGCGAUCAAGUGUCGUUGCUCUUUUGUACCGACGACUUGUAUAAUAGAAUGACUCUCAACAAUGGAUAUCUUGGCUCUUGUAUCGAUGAAGAACAUAGCGAAAUGUGAUUGUUGGUGUGAAUUGCAGGAUCCCGUGAAUCAUCGAGUUUUUGAACGCAAGUUGCGCUCGCGGCCAUUUGGUCGAGGGCUCGCCUGCUUGGGAAUCAACAUUUUAUGAUGCGCCCUCAAUAUUAUAUGAUUGACGGCGGAAAAUGACCCUCCGUGUCCGAGAGGAUUAGGUGGGUUUAACGUUAUUAAUGUUACUCUGACUCUAGAGCGAAAGAUGUCCUUGGUAGAUGCGGUUUCUGUUUGUGGGCUGCGGUUCUAUAUGAGUUUACAGUUGCGCAUUUUACGUUGGACGAUAUGCUCAAUCCGAUGCAUAAUAAACACGAUCCCA
This 936-nucleotide ribosomal RNA is filed under the name Thismia hexagona. Its description in RNAcentral is "bacterial SSU rRNA". The stretch from base 1 to 332 matches the Rfam family "Eukaryotic small subunit ribosomal RNA", at positions 1504 to 1831 of the family's 1831-position model. Lineage: Eukaryota; Viridiplantae; Streptophyta; Magnoliopsida; Dioscoreales; Thismiaceae. The record is from RNAcentral.